Molecule: ribosomal RNA, 253 nt
Filed under: uncultured bacterium
Lineage: Bacteria
Description: partial 16S ribosomal RNA
Rfam family: Bacterial small subunit ribosomal RNA
Source: RNAcentral
UACGAAGGGGGCUAGCGUUGUUCGGAAUUACUGGGCGUAAAGCGUGCGUAGACGGUUAUUUAAGUCGGAUGUGAAAGCCCCGGGCUCAACCUGGGAAUUGCAUUCGAGACUGAAUAGCUAGGGUGCGGUAGAGGGAAGCGGAAUUUCCGGUGUAGCGGUGAAAUGCGUAGAUAUCGGAAGGAACAUCAGUGGCGAAAGCGGCUUCCUGGACCAGCACCGACGUUCAGGCACGAAAGCGUGGGGAGCAAACAGG